Molecule: ribosomal RNA, 253 nt
Filed under: uncultured bacterium
Lineage: Bacteria
Description: partial 16S ribosomal RNA
Rfam family: Bacterial small subunit ribosomal RNA
Source: RNAcentral
UACGGGGGGGGCACGCGUUGUUCGGAAUUACUGGGCGUAAAGGGCUCGUAGGCGGCCAACUAAGUCAGACGUGAAAUCCCUCGGCUUAACCGGGGAACUGCAUCUGAUACUGGAUGGCUUGAGUUCGGGAGAGGGAUGCGGAAUUCCAGGUGUAGCGGUGAAAUGCGUAGAUAUCUGGAGGAACACCGGUGGCGAAGGCGGCAUCCUGGACCGACACUGACGCUGAGGAGCGAAAGCGUGGGGAGCAAACAGG